GAACUGAAGAGUUUGAUCAUGGCUCAGAUUGAACGCUGGCGGCAGGCCUAACACAUGCAAGUCGAGCGGAAACGAGGAUAGCUUGCUAUCCGGCGUCGAGCGGCGGACGGGUGAGUAACGCGUAGGAAUCUGCCCGGUAGUGGGGGACAACAGUUGGAAACGACUGCUAAUACCGCAUACGCCCUACGGGGGAAAGCGGGGGAUCUUCGGACCUCGUGCUAUCGGAUGAGCCUGCGUAAGAUUAGCUUGUUGGUGAGGUAAUGGCUCACCAAGGCAACGAUCUUUAGCUGGUCUGAGAGGAUGAUCAGCCACACUGGGACUGAGACACGGCCCAGACUCCUACGGGAGGCAGCAGUGGGGAAUAUUGGACAAUGGGCGCAAGC
RNAcentral lists this ribosomal RNA (383 nucleotides) under Oceanospirillum sp. RNAcentral describes it as "bacterial SSU rRNA". It matches the Rfam family "Bacterial small subunit ribosomal RNA", at positions 1 to 382 of the family's 1533-position model. The record is from RNAcentral. Lineage: Bacteria; Pseudomonadati; Pseudomonadota; Gammaproteobacteria; Oceanospirillales; Oceanospirillaceae.